CACACUUUCUCCCUUUCCUUCACUACUCUGAACCACUGGUGGGAGUUAGGGUUCAGCUUCUUCGUUCUGAACCACUGGUGGGAGUUAGGGUUCAACUUCUCUUUGCCGUUCUGCCGUGACGCAGCAGUUCUGUCGUGCUUGGCUCGCUAUUGCUCACUGUGACGUGACCCAUUGGCUUGGCUUGGUGAUUACUGAUUUUGCAUUUUGAUUUUCAUUUGAAAGCAAGGAGAAGGAAGAGGAAUUUGGUGGGGACAUCCUGCUCCAAGUCUUUGAUUUGCCUGCAAGAGUACAAGUUGUUGAAGGGUCUAGUAUACCAACUACCACUAUGGAUGACCCCAGACACCAUGUUGAAGACGAGCAGCAUGAUCAUGUUGAUGACGAGCAGCAUGAUCAUGUUGAUGAUACACCGAAAGAUUGUUGAUUGUAUGUGUAUUUCUCUUUUAUGAUCAUAUACUUGUUUUAGUUUUUACUAUUAGUUAAAUGUUAUAUACUCCUUUUAGAUGCUUUUAGUUAAUUGUGGUUUUGAAGACUUAUUUUGGAUGUUUUAUAUUAGUUAUGGUUUAGAAUACUUUAUUUGAUUUUUACUAUUAGUUAUUAGUUAAAUGUCAUUUCUUUUUUGGAUUCUUUUUAUUAGUUGUGAUUUUGUAGAUUGUAUCAAACAUUAUAUAUUUUAAUUAUUUUUAUUGUGA
Long non-coding RNA from Cajanus cajan (pigeon pea), 689 nucleotides. RefSeq lists it as uncharacterized. Lineage: Eukaryota; Viridiplantae; Streptophyta; Magnoliopsida; Fabales; Fabaceae. The record is from RefSeq and is a predicted model, not a curated record.